Molecule: ribosomal RNA, 445 nt
Filed under: uncultured bacterium
Lineage: Bacteria
Description: bacterial SSU rRNA
Rfam family: Bacterial small subunit ribosomal RNA
Source: RNAcentral
GUGAGGAAUAUUGGUCAAUGGGCGCAAGCCUGAACCAGCCAUCCCGCGUGAAGGAAGAAGGCGCUAUGCGUUGUAAACUUCUUUUCCGGAGGAAUAAAAUCUUGUACGCGUACAGGACUGAAGGUACUCCGGGAAUAAGCAUCGGCUAACUCCGUGCCAGCAGCCGCGGUAAUACGGAGGAUGCAAGCGUUAUCCGGAUUUAUUGGGUUUAAAGGGUGCGUAGGCGGAUUAAUAAGUCAGCGGUGAAAACCUUCAGCUUAACUGGAGACUUGCCAUUGAUACUGUUAGUCUUGAGUAUGGUUAAGGUAGGCGGAAUGUGUAAUGUAGCGGUGAAAUGCUUAGAUAUUACACAGAACACCAAUUGCGAAGGCAGCUUACUGAGCCAUAACUGACGCUGAUGCACGAAAGCGUGGGGAGCGAACAGGAUUAGAAACCCGAGUAGUCC